AACUAACAGGAUUCCCCUAGUAACUGCGAGUGAAGCGGGAAAAGCUCAAAUUUAAAAUCUGUCAGUCUUUUGGCUGUCCGAGUUGUAAUCUAGAGAAGUGCUAUCCGCGCUGGACCGUGUACAAGUCUCCUGGAAUGGAGCGUCGUAGAGGGUGAGAAUCCCGUCUUUGACACGGACUACCAGGGCUUUGUGAUGCGCUCUCAAAGAGUCGAGUUGUUUGGGAAUGCAGCUCAAAAUGGGUGGUAAAUUCCAUCUAAAGCUAAAUAUUGGCGAGAGACCGAUAGCGAACAAGUACCGUGAGGGAAAGAUGAAAAGAACUUUGGAAAGAGAGUUAAACAGUACGUGAAAUUGCUGAAAGGGAAACGCUUGAAGUCAGUCACGUUGACCAGGGAUCAACCCUUGCUUUUGCUUGGUGUACUUUCUGGUUGACGGGUCAGCAUCAAUUUUGACUAUUGGAAAAAGAUUAGGGGAAUGUGGCAUCUUCGGAUGUGUUUAUAGCCUCUGGUUGCAUACAAUGGUUGAGAUUGAGGAACUCAGCAUGCCRCAAGGCCGGGUUUUUACCACGUACAUGCUUAGGAUGUUGGCAUAAUGGCUUUAAUCGACCCGUCUUGAAACACGGACCAAGGAGUCUAACAUAUCUGCGAGUGUUUGGGUGGAAAACCCGAGCGCGUAAUGAAAGURAAAGUUGAGAUCCCUGUCGUGGGGAGCAUCGACGCCCGGACCAGACCUUUUGUGACGGUUCCGCGGUAGAGCAAGUAUGUUGGGACCCGAAAGAUGGUGAACUAUGCCUGAAUAGGGUGAAGCCAGAGGAAACUCUGGUGGAGGCUCGUAGCGAUUCUGACGUGCAAAUCGAUCGUCAAAUUUGGGUAUAGGGGCGAAAGACUA
This 885-nucleotide ribosomal RNA is filed under the name Cortinarius neotropicus. RNAcentral's name for it is "eukaryotic LSU rRNA". It matches the Rfam family "Eukaryotic large subunit ribosomal RNA", at positions 63 to 933 of the family's 3401-position model. The record is from RNAcentral. Lineage: Eukaryota; Fungi; Basidiomycota; Agaricomycetes; Agaricales; Cortinariaceae.